RNAcentral lists this ribosomal RNA (461 nucleotides) under uncultured bacterium. RNAcentral's name for it is "partial 16S ribosomal RNA". It matches the Rfam family "Bacterial small subunit ribosomal RNA", at positions 338 to 795 of the family's 1533-position model. The record is from RNAcentral.
CCUACGGGUGGCAGCAGUGAGGAAUAUUGGUCAAUGGGCUUACGCCUGAACCAGCCCAGUCGCGUGAGGGAAGACUGCCCUAUGGGUUGUAAACCUCUUUUGUCAGGGAGCAAUUUGCGCUACGUGUAGCGUUAUCUAUAGUACCUGAAGAAAAAGCAUCGGCUAACUACGUGCCAGCAGCCGCGGUAAUACGUAGGGGGCAAGCGUGAUCCGGAUUUACUGGGUGUAAAGGGAGCGUAGACGGCAGUGCAAUUCCGGAGUGAAAGCCCGGGGCCCAACCCCGGGACUGCGCUUGGAACUGCAUGGAUGGAGUACAGGAGGGGCAGGCGGAAUUCCUAGUGUAGCGGUGAAAUGCGGAGAUAUUAGGAGGAACACCGGUGGCGAAGGCGGCCUGCUGGACUGUGACUGACGUUGAGGCCCGAAGGCGUGGGGAGCAAACAGGAUUAGAGACCCCGGUAGUC